ACGGGGUGCAGCAGGCGCGAAACCUCCGCAAUACACGAAAGUGUGACGGGGUUACCCAAAGUGUUCAGUUUUGAACUGUGGUAGGUGAGUAAUGUCCCCUACUAGAAAGGAGAGGGCAAGGCGGGUGCCAGCCGCCGCGGUAAAACCAGCUCUUCAAGUGGUCGGGAUAAUUAUUGGGCUUAAAGUGUCCGUAGCCGGUUUAGUAAGUUCCUGGUAAAAUCGGGUAGCUUAACUAUCUGUAUGCUAGGAAUACUGCUAAACUAGAGGGCGGGAGAGGUCUGAGGUACUACAGGGGUAGGGGUGAAAUCUUAUAAUCCUUGUAGGACCACCAGUGGCGAAGGCGUCAGACUGGAACGUGCCUGACGGUGAGGGACGAAAGCCAGGGGAGCGAACCGGAUUAGAUACCCGGGUAGUCCUGGCCGUAAACGAUGCAUACUAGGUGAUGGCAUGGCCAUGAGCCGUGUCAGUGCCGUAGGGAAACCGUUAAGUAUGCCGCCUGGAAGUACGUCGCAAG
Molecule: ribosomal RNA, 514 nt
Filed under: uncultured archaeon
Lineage: Archaea
Description: bacterial SSU rRNA
Rfam family: Archaeal small subunit ribosomal RNA
Source: RNAcentral